CCCAUCAUGCCAUGCGCGCGGCGUAAUCAAGAUGGCGGCUUCAAAGAAACAAAAUGCGUGACCAUCUGAAAUGGAAGUACUAUGCACUUUCAGAAAUACAUUUGGAUGUAAGUGAUGACAUCAUUUUGACUAUUAAUCAGCAUCAUGAUUUCCAGGGGAGCAAAAGUUGCUUUAGGAGGAGCAUUUUGUUUUGCUGCUGCUGUCAUUUUCUUGGUCCAUCAGAUGCAAAAUAUUGAUCGCAGGAGACUCAAGGAAGGUGUGAUCAGGGAUUUGGAGCGGCAGGAAAAGAAGAGGAGAAAUGUUGAGGAGUUAAAGGAACAAAUCGAACUCACCAAGAAGUUACAAGAGCAAAGAGACAGAGAUCUUUCUAAAGAAACAGAAUGACAUGAAGCAAGUUGGGAAAAAAUAAUUUAUUGUUUUAUAUCUUUUUUCAUGGUUCUUUUGGCAAUUAAAAUUGUAAUGCAUACUUUGA
Molecule: long non-coding RNA, 472 nt
Organism: Orbicella faveolata
Lineage: Eukaryota; Metazoa; Cnidaria; Anthozoa; Scleractinia; Merulinidae
Source: RefSeq, a predicted model, not a curated record